Molecule: unclassified non-coding RNA, 253 nt
Filed under: Pseudomonadota bacterium
Lineage: Bacteria; Pseudomonadati; Pseudomonadota
Also listed under: 1 other name
Description: partial 16S ribosomal RNA
Rfam family: Bacterial small subunit ribosomal RNA
Source: RNAcentral
GACGGAGGGCGCAAGCGUUGUUCGGAUUCACUGGGCAUAAAGAGCACGUAGGCGGCUCAGUUAGUCGGAUGUGAAAGCCCACGGCCCAACCGUGGAAUUGCAUUCGAUACUGCUGGGCUCGAGAUCGGGAGGGGUGAGUGGAACUCCAGGUGGAACGGUGAAAUGUGUAGAUAUCUGGAGGAACACCGGUGGCGAAGGCGGCUCACUGGCCCGAUUCUGACGCUGAGGUGCGAAAGCUAGGGGAGCGAACGGG